GUAGUCAUACGCUCGUCUCAAAGAUUAAGCCAUGCAUGUGUAAGUGUAAAUAUCAUAGUUUGGAACUGCGAAUGGCUCAUCAUAUCAGUUAUAGUUUAUUUGGUGAAGUGUACUACUUGGAUAACCGUAGUAAUUCUAGGGCUAAUACAUGAGAAAGUCCUCGGGUGAGGUGUGUCUAUUAGAAUGAAAACCAUAUGAUUUGGCAUGAUAGUGAGUAAUAGUAACCUAUCGUAUCGCAUGCUUAAUGUAGCGAUGAGUCUUUCAAGUUUCUGCCCUAUCAGCGUUCGAUGGUGGUAUAUGGGCGUACCACGGCAGUAACGGGUAACGAAGAAUUUGGGUUCGAUUUCGGAGAGGGAGCCUGAGAGAUGGCUACCACAUCCGAGGAAGGCAGCAGGCGCGUAAAUUACCCAAUCUUGACACAGGGAGGUAGUGACAAUAAAUCACACUGCGGGACUCUACGUCUUGCAAUUGGAUUGAGAACAAUGUACUACUCUAAUCGAUAAGCCAUUGGAGGGCAAGUCUGGUGCCAGCAGCCGCGGUAAUUCCCGCUCCCAUAGCGUAUAUUAACGUUGUGCAGU
RNAcentral lists this ribosomal RNA (578 nucleotides) under Blastocystis sp. RNAcentral's name for it is "SSU rRNA". It matches the Rfam family "Eukaryotic small subunit ribosomal RNA", at positions 20 to 619 of the family's 1831-position model. Lineage: Eukaryota; Bigyra; Opalinata; Blastocystidae. The record is from RNAcentral.